UCCCAAGUGCUGGGAUCAAAGGCGUGCGCCACCACGCCCAGCUGUCACCAGUGUUUCAAAAGUAUUACCUUAGAUUAAUCCUUCAACCUGUCUAAAAACAAAAUAAUACAGUAACAAUACUUUAUUUAUUUGUUAAGCCGGGGAUUGAGCUAGGAUCUUGUGAACGCUCGUCAAGUGCCCCGCAGCUGAGCUUCUGCUCCGCUCCGCUAACGUUGUUAACGUUGUUCAGGGUGUCAUUAAGUUGCCCAUUGAAUUCACUCGGAAGCCCAGCCUGGAUUGGAAUCUGCAUUAGCCUCCCAGGUAGCGGGCACGAGGACUGAUUGACCAGGCUUUCCCUUACUGACGGCCUGGCUGUUGGGAGCAUGUUUCCGGAUUAUCUGUCUUGUAUGUUUACCGACAUCCUGCUUGGCAAGCAGCUAGAACUCAAUUCGGCUCGCACCUGCAGCUGACAUCUUUGUACUUUGAGAACUUGGAGUCAUUUCUCCUUUUACCUAUGUUUCCUCUUCUGCUUGUAGAUGAGGCCGGGAAGUUGGAACUUUCUUCAGCCUUUGUUUUCCAUUUUACUUACUUUGAGUGUUAGCCUUUAAAAGAAUAUUUUUAAUUACGUGUGACGCUGUGUGGGCGUGUGCACGUGAGAGCAGGUCCCUGUAGAGGCCAGAGGCAUGGGAUCCUCCUGGAGCUGGAUUCCUGAGCCCCGUGGUGUGGGUGCUGGGAGCCGAAUCUCAGUCCUCAGCGGGUUAUGUAGUCUUGACUGCUGAGCCAGUUUUCUAGCCUGUAUUGGCCUUUUCAACGUUGUCAUCUUCUUAGAUUAUUUUAUGGUAUUUUGUUAACACCAGGGUUCCAUGUAUCCCAAGUUAGCCUCUCACUUGCUAUGUAGCUAAGGAUAAACUUAGACUUUAUGAUCCUCUUGCCUCUCCCUCGAUGUUGCUGGAGUCACAGGCACACUUAUGUGUGACCACUGUGCCUGGGGGGUUGAACUCAGGGCUUCGUGUCUGCUAGGCAAGGACUCUACCAACUAAGCCAGGUCCUCAGACUUUUUUUUUUCAGACUUUUUAAAUAUAUACUUUAUUAUUUGUAGGAAUUCAUAUUCGUACACUGCGUUUCGAUUGGAUUCACUUCCUGUUCCUCCCCGGCUCUCCAGAGGUCCACCCCCACUCCUCACCACAUUUUAACUUCCCGUCUUUCUCCUCCUUUUUAUUUUUUAUUUUUUAAGAUUUAUUUUUAUGUAUAUGAAGAUGCUGUUGCAGUCUUCAUACACACCAGAAGAGGGCACUGGACCCCAUUGCAGAUGGUUGUGAGCUACCUACCAUGUGGUUGUUGGGAUUUGAACUCAGGACCUCUGGAAGAGCAGUCAGUGCUCUUAACCACAGAGCCAUCUCUCCAUUCCCCAUUUCUUAAGUUCUUAGAUAGACUUGAUUAUUUGUUGUUUUUUAUAUUAAAGAGUAGAGUUUUUUUUAAAAUCUGGGUGGUAGCUUAGCAGUAAGAGCUCUUGCCUGUCAUGUUGGUGACCCUAGAGUUAAUCUGCCCUUACCUUCAACCCCCCCAAAAAAGACCUGAAAAAAUAGACUUUUGUUAUUGC
Molecule: long non-coding RNA, 1579 nt
Filed under: Mus musculus (house mouse)
Lineage: Eukaryota; Metazoa; Chordata; Mammalia; Rodentia; Muridae
Description: long non-coding RNA chr5:143819751-143821330
Source: RNAcentral